AUGAAAAUUCUUCCAAUCGGUUGUGUUUCCAGUUCUCUAACGGCUGAAUUUAUGGAGGAGGGAAAUCAGUGGGCACUUUGUUCCUGUGAAAUAAAUCUGGGGCAGUACUACUGCUGCAGAAGCAUCAUAUCUGUAGAUGCUUUGAAACUUCACCUAGUGGGAGUUCUUUUUCCUUGUAUACCAGUAGUCAAACCUGAAAGUAAUGAGAUGCUUAGAUCUCGUCCACAUCCAAUGCCAAGUUUUUCCCAUAAGAUGCUUAAGAGGUACAAUUCCUGCUCUACAUGGAAUUCUUUUGGAGUUGAGUUGCAGUGUGGUCUACUGAGGACUACAACACCAUUGACAUGCCAUUGUUCUACUAAGGUUGGGUAUAAUGCUGGCAUGAUACUGAAGGGAAAUUGCUCUUGUCUUGCAAUGGUAUUUACUUGGACUUCUCAGGGAGCACAGAUGGAUAGGAAAAAUGUUUUGGUGGCACAGUCUGACUUCCAGUUUUGCACCCUGGGAAAUGACAGCAUGCAAGUCUGUGUUGGUGAGCUGCUGAUUGAUGGUUUCUUGCAAGACAUGAUUAGCUCAUGUCUCAGUUUAUCGGUCUCUAAAAAUUUUCAAUGCACAAUUUCAUUGAAGAUACUUGAUGCAACACAUAUGGACUCCAGUUUGAUUUGUUUGCUGGAAGAUAUUGAGUACAGACUUGUACCAUUGUCACACUCUAUUCCUCAUGGUCACUAUGUUGGGGUGAUACAUGACCUUGAUGUUCUGAAUCCAUGGCCACCACCACUAUACUUGAAUAUUCUGGCGCUCAGUUCCUUCAGAAGGGUUCCCUCUUAUGCGUCCGAACAAAUUCAAUGGAAAAUUGCUGCUGAUAUUUUCAAGAAAUUGUUGCCUCUCAGCAUGGGUGAGGAAAUCCUUCCAGCCAACUUGAUUGCCGUCUGCUAUAACAUUGUUGGUGUUUCUGUUUGGUCCAUGUUUGCUACAAUAUUCAAACAAAAAGAGGCUUGUUUUGUUGAGCACUUCAUGACAAAGUGCGUCGAUUUGGGCUUUUCUCCUAGUGCCACUCUAGCACAUUUGCAGAUAUGGCAAGAUGGUUUUGUUUCUUUGUUCAGUUCCAAGGAGGCAAUGGAUCAAUCGUGGGUUUCCUAUUGUCAAAGAGUUUGCUCUAUUUCAGCUUGGUGGCGAGACAAUUUGGAUAGUGUAAAUGAUGCUUGCUGGAAGAGUGCUCUUGAUGUAAUCCAGGUGACAUGGGACCCAGGAAGUUCAACACGACAUCGACUUGAGGACGAAACUGCAAAAUGGGUUCAGUAUGCUUUAUCGACUCCAUGGGAUCCCGGUGGCGCUAUUAAACAUCAACUUGGGGGCAAGUCGAAUCUUAUGGGGGAGGGAUUGUCAGCGACCUGGGCCUCACUGGGCCACAGCCAGGACCCAACCCACAAGGAAGACAUGGACUACAUAUACAAGGGGGGCAGCUACACGCGACUUGGCUUGGACGAAACGGGCGGCUUCGGCCGAGGCUUGGCUCUGUUCUUCAUCUCCCUCCUCCUGUAG
This 1536-nucleotide ribosomal RNA is filed under the name Triticum aestivum (bread wheat). RNAcentral describes it as "partial small subunit ribosomal RNA". Lineage: Eukaryota; Viridiplantae; Streptophyta; Magnoliopsida; Poales; Poaceae. The record is from RNAcentral.